UGGAAACACAAUUCGAAGAGACCCAAAGACAGCUUGAAUAACCGCAUGGAGAAGCAACUUGAGGAAAAAUUGGCACAUAUUUUUUUUAGAAGGAAUCCUUUUACUGCUGGACAAUUUUCUAGUGUUAGGAACAAUGCAGCAUACCAUGAUCAUAGAGUUGAAAGUACUGGUAACAUAUGGGCACAAAGGGAAAUCAUGGAAGCUUCAACUACUUUACGAAGAGAGGGUCAA
Molecule: long non-coding RNA, 231 nt
Organism: Trifolium pratense (red clover)
Lineage: Eukaryota; Viridiplantae; Streptophyta; Magnoliopsida; Fabales; Fabaceae
Exons: 3
Source: RefSeq, a predicted model, not a curated record